Molecule: long non-coding RNA, 945 nt
Filed under: Exaiptasia diaphana
Lineage: Eukaryota; Metazoa; Cnidaria; Anthozoa; Actiniaria; Aiptasiidae
Description: uncharacterized LOC110244550, transcript variant X1
Source: RNAcentral
UGACUGUNCUUUCUGGUCAGGGAAAAUGAAAAAUCUUUCUAUGAUGAUGAGACAGAUAAUUACAAUAUGGAAUUAAUGAUUCUUUAAGAACACAGCUAAAUUCAAACAACGAAGGAUUUCAUUAAAGCCAGGAUAAAAAAGAGUCAGUGCUUUCUGAAAACCUCGGUAGAAACAACAUGGAAUUAGAGUUUCACACUCCAACUUCUACAGAAUGAGACUCACUUCUUUUGUACAACNCAUUAUCAAACCAUGUCAAAAAAAUUUGUCCCACNAAUGGAAGCUAACUGAGCCGAGCUCUUCUCGCUGCUUCUUGUUGUAAAACAACGAUGUCCAGCAUUUAUGAGGCUCCUGAGCCUAAAAGUAUCAGGUCAACAUACGAAAAUUUUCGAGAGAUGCCAAGGGAUUCUAGCAGAGGCAACUCUCUAAGGACAUGUCUUCCUGAUCGAUCUCAAGAUGACCACGAUGUCAAACAGAAGAUGAAGUGUACACUAUCUACGCGCCAUGACUCGAGGCACACCAAAGACAGGCACAAGAGCACAGCGAAAUAGAUGAGACAGCAAAGGAUCUCCAAUGUCCUCCUGCACCUCGUAUACCUGAUGGACGUCAGCUUGGGCGUGACAAUCAGCAGGACCUACAGAACGAAGGAGUUCUUUUGAUUAGAAGAGUUAAAAUACCAGUAGAGCAAAAUGAGCGUGACGUCGUACUUGAGCCCCAAUUAACAAUAAUGAGACCAAUUGCCCAGGAUUCAGGCUCAGGACCAAACAUGGAACCAGUCUUCGACCAAGACAACUUAUACCUGCUCUUUCAUGAGCAUUUCCAAGAAGCAAUUGUGGAAGAGCUAGGUUGAUUAAAGCUGUGUACUAGUAUGAUACGUUCUAUGUACAAACACUGAUUUAUAUAUAGUUUGAUACAAUCGUUGAAUUUUGUAGGCGCUGUAAGGUGGGG